This 395-nucleotide ribosomal RNA is filed under the name uncultured bacterium. RNAcentral's name for it is "bacterial SSU rRNA". It matches the Rfam family "Bacterial small subunit ribosomal RNA", at positions 505 to 898 of the family's 1533-position model. The record is from RNAcentral.
GUGUCAGCAGCCGCGGUAAUACGGAGGGUGCAAGCGUUGUUCGGAUUUAUUGGGCGUAAAGAGCGUGUAGGCGGUUUUGCAAGUCAGGUGUGAAAUCCCGGGGCUUAACCCCGGAACUGCGCCUGAAACUGCAGGACUUGAGUACGGGAGAGGUAGGUGGAAUUCCUGGUGUAGAGGUGAAAUUCGUAGAUAUCAGGAGGAACACCCGUGGCGAAAGCGACCUACUGGACCGAUACUGACGCUGAGACGCGAAAGCGUGGGGAGCAAACAGGAUUAGAUACCCUGGUAGUCCACGCCGUAAACGUUGGGCACUAGGUGUUGCGGGUGUUGACCCCUGCAGUGCCGAAGCAAACGCAUUAAGUGCCCCGCCUGGGGAGUACGGCCGCAAGGCUAAA